GCCACCCUCGUAUGUACCCACCACGGCCCAGUCUGCCACCUUCCUCCAGGCAGAGCCUCCCACAGCUGCUGGAGCCUCCCCUAGGAGCUCCACUGGGGAGAAGCAGAGGUCCUCUCCUACCCCUUAGCCCUGGGGUCUGGAAUUCAACCCUCCCCCACUCUGUUCCCAGUUGCCCUCUGUUUGACAAGAGGAGCUUGGAAACCACCUCGAUCCAGUCCUCAAACUCCCCUUCCCCUGUGCCGCUCUGAAUUCCAGGCUAUCCCCACGAUAUAGCCAAAGCACCCUGGCUUGCUUUGAAAGUGUCUGGGGAGUUUUUGAUCCCCUGAAAAAAAAAGGCAUUUAUUAUCAGAGACUGUUUGUACCAUAUUUUAGUGUCCUCAAGAGACAAAGAGAAUUCUCUCUGCAGUUGAGUAAGCUUCAAAAUAGAAAAUCGGAGGGUGGGGUAGGUGACGGCCAAAAAGCAAUCAUUUAUCAACCAGCGGGGAAGCAGGGACCGUAAACCUCUUUGGUGGCUGCAGGUUUCAUCACAGCCUGACUUAUGCACCUGACUCUGGAGAGGAGGUGAGAAUGGGGUGUGCAGAAGUCAGUGGGUCCCGCAGUCUUCCCUCCUUCAGCGUUGGUGGCCACAGUCUGUCUGUGGUCACUUGCCCCCACAGCCCCCUGCUCUGCCUUCCAUUUAUCGAGACCUUUCCCUUGCAUUUGCGGAGGGGGAAGAAGCAGAGGUUAGGUUGCUGACAUUCUGCACACCCCACAACUCCCCAGAGAAAUCCUGGGGCUGAUCAGUAGAAUCCAGCCACCUUUCACUGGCAGAAGGCACAGUGUUUUUCUCCCUGGAGGUUUUUAACCUGUUACUUCAUGUAAGCCUCCUAUUGUCAAAUAGAGAGAAACUGAGGGGCUUUGGAAGCAAACAGACUUGGGAAAUUCUUGGCAAAUUCUUAACUCUAUCUCUUUGUGGGUGACCUGGGAUAUGUUCCCGGUGUCCUCAGCCUCUGAGUGCUCUUGGAAGAUUAAAUGGGAUAAACCAUGUGGAGUGACCAGUGCGAGGCCCAGCAUGUUCUAGAAGCUCAAAGGAAUGGCUACCACAAGUCAAGCCUAUUCUAGAUACCGAGGAAGUUGUCCACAGAGGGAAAAAAUUAUACCAAGAAGCAAGAGAGCCUGUUUUCUGACCCCCUCUCAGUCACUUGGUAAUUAUUAUUCCUCAAUCUUCACAUCUGAGGAUAUAACUAUUUUACCUGACUGAAGACAGAAGGGGUAUACCAGAUGGUUUCACCAAGAUCCAUCAAAUUCUAGUCAAAGAUUCUUCCAUUUUAAUUAAGCCCAUUGCUUCCUGUUUGAUCUUCUAAGGGCAGAGAAUAACAAUGUAAGCUCUGACCAUUUAAAAAAAUCAUCAUUCCUGCUCUAAUCAUCUCAAACCAUUCAUUCACUGGUCAUCCCGGGAAGGUCAACAGCAAUCUCCGAAGAGUCUGGUACCACGUCCUCCUCACAAGUCACUGCUAUAAGACUGACACUUAUCAAAAUGUCUGCCCAUCUCCACAGAGACGCUCCUAAUGUGCCUUGUUUCUGCUUUAUGACAAUGACCUUGGUUACAGCCAGUUGGUCCAGGAAUAGGCACCUGACCCAGUCUGGGCCAAUCUGGCCCCCUCUCUUGGGAAUGGUGACCAAAAGAGUCUGUCUCAGCAGAAACUGGAAAUGUAACAUAAACAGUCAUAAGCCAGGGGCCUGCUGGCAGUGCCAUGGGGGCUAAAGAACAGAAAAGGCUAGUCUACAAAGAAAGAAGAGAAUGAAAUUGAUGUCCAAGAAAACUGGAUUCAAGACACCAGAGAGAAAAUGAGCCAACCCAUUCACACUUCCAGGCCCUUUCUGAGGCAUGACAAUGUGGCAGAAUGUAUUUUCCAAUAUUUUCCAUCCCAUACGCUCUUCCAGAACCUUGCCACUGCAUCAAAAGAUGGUGUCUAUAUCCCUUCCGCCUGAAACGGUGAGCCUUUGUGACUGCUCACACUUCUAGGAUGUGGCAGAAGUGACGCUGUGUGAUUGCUGAGGCUAGAUCAUAAAAGGCAACACAGCUUGCACACAGCUCUAUCUCUUUGGACACUCAUCCUUGGAAUGGCAGCCACCAUGCUCUGAGGAAGCACAGGUCACAUGGAGCGCCCCACUUGGAGACAAAUGGAGGCCCCCCAGCCCUCAGUGCUGGCUGAGCAACCAGCAGACAGCCAGCACCAACCUGCCACCAGGUGAGUGUGCCAUCUUGAAAGCAGAUCCUCCAGUCCCAGUGAAACCAGCCCAGGUAACACCACAUGAAGCAGAGGUGAGACUUCCCCACUGAGCUCCAUGUAAAUUGCAGAUUCAGGAGCAAUAUAUGAUUGUCACUUAAAACUGCUAAAUUUGAGGUUGGUUUGUGAAGCAGCAAUAAAUCACUAGAACAAUGAUGUCUCUGUCUUCAAUUUACAAAAGACAGCCCUAUAUCCUUAGAGCAAAGCCCCCAUUCUGGCUUAAGCUAGUUCACUUGGGUUUAUUUGACCUACAACUAAAGAAUGAAAGCUAUUGAAGGCUUCUUUUCCCACUUUAAAUAGGAGUGAGAGGAGGAAAAGGAAAUUAAGGCUCUCUUUCUAAUCUGCAGCCCACCACAUGCGUUCAGGUACUCAGAAGGCUGGAAACUUUUCAAAGAAGAAGAGGGUGAGUUUCUCUGACCAUAUUAGCCAUGAGCAGCCACAGUGAAAGAAUUAAUGAAUUAGUUGCCUUUGCUUAUCUUUGCCCUGGACUUCAGACCUCCUUCAGGAGCAAUGGAGGGAUCCAAAAGCCAACACUGGAAGAUGUGGAUGGUGCUUCCAGCUCAAGGACGUGGCCUCCAGCAAGUCCCUGAACAUCUUUAAGCCCUCACCUGUCAAACAGGGUUGGUGAUUACUUUUUUUUUUUUUUUUUGAGAUGGAGUCUCACUCUGCCUCCUAGGCUGGAGUGUGGUGGUGUGAUCCAGGCUCACUGCAACCUCCACCUCCCAGGUUCAAGCAAUUCUCCUGCUUCAGCACCACCCCCACCACCCCCACCCACCCCACCAAGCAGCUGGGAUUACAGGCAUGUGCUACCACGCCUGGCUAACUUUUAUAUUUUUUUAAGUAGAAACGGGUUUUUGCCAUGUUGGCCAGGCUGGUCUUGAACUCCUGACCUCAAGCAAUCCACCCACCUUGGCCUCCCAAAGUGCUGGGAUUAUAGGCAUGAGCCACCACGCCUAGCCAAUGAUCACAUUUUCCUACCUAACUCCCUGGGCUGCUGGGAUAGCAGAUGAGAAUGGGUGAGAGGUUCUUUGGAAAGUGAAGGUGGUGCUGUCCAGCAGCUAUGUCAGACUGCUAUGGUCUGAGUGUUUGUGUCCCACUACCCUGAGACAGAUAUGUUGAAAUCCCAAGCCGCAAUGUGAUGGUAUUCACCUUUGGGAAGUGAUUAGGUCAUGAGGGCUCUGCUUCAUGGGGUUAGUGCCCUUAUGAAAGAGGCCCAAGCGGGCCGGGCGCGGUGGCUCAUGCCUAUAAUUGCAGCACUUUGGGAGGCCAAGGCGGGCGGAUCACCUGAGGUCAGAAGUUUGAGACCAGCCUAACCGACAUGGAGAAACAACGUCUCUACUAAAAAUACAAAAUUAGCCGGGCGUGGUGGCGCAUGCCUGUAAUCCUAGCUACUCGGGAGGCUGAGGCAGGAGAAUCACUUGAACCCAGGUGGCACAGGUUGCGGCGAGCCGAGAUUCCACCAUUGCACUCCAGCCAGGGCAACAAGAGUGAAACUCUGUCUCAAAAAGAAAGAAAAAGAAAAAGAAAGAGGCCCAAGAGAGCUCAUUCACUCCUUUCAUCACAUGAGGACACAGCAAAAUGAUGGCUGUCUAUGAACCAGGAAGCAGGUCCUCACCAGACACCGGAUCUGCUGAUGUCUUGACAUUGGGCUUCCCAGCCUCCAGCACUGUGAGAAAUAAAUGUCUGAUGUUUAGAAGCCACCCAGUUUAUGGUAUUUUGUUAUAGUGGCCCGAAUGGUCUAAGACAGGCACCCAGUAGAAGGCAGCCCCUGUGUGUGGGUAGGUUCCACACAAAGGCAAGCCUAGCCCCAAGGUCGCCACCAACAAACCCCAGAGCCAUUUUUCCAUGGGGUCUGAAAACUGCACCAUUAGAUGCUGCUUAGUUUAGGACUUUAUAUUGGGUUGAAU
RNAcentral lists this long non-coding RNA (4177 nucleotides) under Homo sapiens (human). Its description in RNAcentral is "HSALNT0244032". Lineage: Eukaryota; Metazoa; Chordata; Mammalia; Primates; Hominidae. The record is from RNAcentral.